AGGUCAAGCGAAAAAGAGCUAACGGUAAAGCCCUAGGCACAUCGAGGCGAAGAAGGACGUGGUAACCGACGAAACGUUGCGGGGAGCUGGAAACAAGCCUUGAGCCGCAAGUAUCCGAAUGGGGCAACCCCAAGAACGGUCUGCUGAAUCUAUAGGCAGAAACGAGCCAACGCGGCGAACUGAAACAUCUUAGUAACCGUAGGAAAAGAAAACCAAAGUGAUUCCCCUAGUAGCGGCGAGCGAACGGGGAGCAGCCUAAACCUCCCACUGCGGUGAGAGGGGUCGUGGGACAGCAAUCGUCAGACGGAGACUCUUAAACGAAGCAACUGAAAACUGCACCAGAGAGGGUAAAAGUCCCGUAGUUGAAAAGGAAAACCGCUGCGCUGUAUCCCGAGUAGUUCGGAACACGAGAAAUUCCGAGUGAAUCAGCCAGGACCACCUGGUAAGGCUAAAUACUCCGAUGUGACCGAUAGCGAACCAGUACCGCGAGGGAAAGGUGAAAAGAACCCCGGCGAGGGGAGUGAAAAAGAACGUGAAACCGUUAGCUUACAAGCAGUGGGAGGACGAUGAAACGUCUGACCGCGUGCCUGUUGAAGAAUGAGCCGGCGAGUAAUUAGUCGUGGCCGGUUAAGCUCACGGAGAGCGAAGCCCAAGGGAAACCGAGUCUGAAAAGGGCGCAAGUCACGGGUAAUUGACCCGAACCCGGGUGAACUAACCAUGACCAGGAGGAAGCUUGGGUAGUACCAAGUGGAAGUCCGAACCGACCAACGUUGAAAAGUUGGCGGAUGAGUUGUGGUUAGCGGUGAAAUGCCAAUCGAACUCGGAGCUAUCUGGUUCUCCCCGAAAUGCGUUUAGGCGCAGCAGCGAAGAAAAAGCAGUGGGGGUAAAGCACUGUUUCGCUACGGGCUGCGAAAGCGGUACCAAAGCGAGACAAACUCAGAAUACCACUGUGAAAAUCGUGAGUGAGACGGUGGGGGAUAAGCUUCAUCGUCAAGAGGGAAACAGCCCAGACCACCAGCUAAGGUCCCGAAAUGAUGGCUAAGUGAAAAAGGAGGUAGGAACGCCAAGACAACCAGGAGGUUUGCCUAGAAGCAGCCACCCUUAAAAGAGUGCGUAAUAGCUCACUGGUCAAGCGUUCCCGCGCCGAAAAUGAACGGGGCUAAGUCAUCUACCGAAGCUGUGGACAGGAAACUGUGGUAGGGGAGCGUUCUAUCAAGGGAGAAGCACUAGCGGCAAGCAGGUGUGGACGAGAUAGAAGUGAGAAUGUCGGCUUGAGUAGCGAAAACUUUGGUAAGAAUCCAAAGCCCCGAAACCCUAAGGGUUCCUCCGGAAGGCUCGUCCGCGGAGGGUUAGUCGGGACCUAAGGCGAGACCGAAAGGUGUAGUCGAUGGACAUCGGGUGAAUAAUCCCGAACGAC
RNAcentral lists this ribosomal RNA (1417 nucleotides) under Euhalothece sp. KZN 001. Its description in RNAcentral is "bacterial LSU rRNA". It matches the Rfam family "Bacterial large subunit ribosomal RNA", at positions 1 to 1447 of the family's 2925-position model. Lineage: Bacteria; Bacillati; Cyanobacteriota; Cyanophyceae; Chroococcales; Halothecacae. The record is from RNAcentral.